GUGAGGAAUAUUGGUCAAUGGACGAGAGUCUGAACCAGCCAAGUCGCGUGAAGGAAGACGGUUCUAUGAAUUGUAAACUUCUUUUGUGCAGGAAUAAAGUGGGUUACGUGUAACCUUUUGUAUGUACUGUACGAAUAAGGAUCGGCUAACUCCGUGCCAGCAGCCGCGGUAAUACGGAGGAUCCGAGCGUUAUCCGGAUUUAUUGGGUUUAAAGGGUGCGUAGGUGGAUUGAUAAGUCAGCGGUGAAAGUUUGCAGCUUAACUGUAAAAUUGCAGUGGAAACUGUCGGUCUUGAGUGCAAAUGAGGUAGGCGGAAUGUGUUGUGUAGCGGUGAAAUGCUUAGAUAUAACACAGAACUCCGAUUGCGAAGGCAGCUUACUGGGAUGCAACUGACACUGAUGCACGAAAGCGUGGGUAUCAAACAGGAUUAGAAACCCUGGUAGUCC
Molecule: ribosomal RNA, 445 nt
Filed under: uncultured bacterium
Lineage: Bacteria
Description: partial 16S ribosomal RNA
Rfam family: Bacterial small subunit ribosomal RNA
Source: RNAcentral